This 23-nucleotide non-coding RNA is filed under the name Arabidopsis thaliana (thale cress). The record is from RNAcentral. Lineage: Eukaryota; Viridiplantae; Streptophyta; Magnoliopsida; Brassicales; Brassicaceae.
GUACUAGGAUGGGUGACCUCCCG